UACGAAGGGGGCUAGCGUUGUCGUGAAUUACUGGGCGUAAAGCGCACGUAGGCGGCUUUGUAAGUUAGAGGUGAAAGCCCAGGGCUCAACCCUGGAAUUGCCUUUAAGACUGCAUCGCUUGAAUCAUGGAGAGGUGAGUGGAAUUCCGAGUGUAGAGGUGAAAUUCGUAGAUAUUCGGAAGAACACCAGUGGCGAAGGCGACUCACUGGACAUGUAUUGACGCUGAGGUGCGAAAGCGUGGGGAGCAAACAGG
RNAcentral lists this ribosomal RNA (253 nucleotides) under uncultured bacterium. RNAcentral describes it as "partial 16S ribosomal RNA". It matches the Rfam family "Bacterial small subunit ribosomal RNA", at positions 524 to 776 of the family's 1533-position model. The record is from RNAcentral.